RNAcentral lists this ribosomal RNA (435 nucleotides) under uncultured bacterium. Its description in RNAcentral is "partial 16S ribosomal RNA". It matches the Rfam family "Bacterial small subunit ribosomal RNA", at positions 29 to 507 of the family's 1533-position model. The record is from RNAcentral.
AGCGAACGCUGGCGGCAGGCUUAACACAUGCAAGUCGAACGGGCAUAGCAAUAUGUCAGUGGCAGACGGGUGAGUAACGCGUGGGAACGUACCUUUUGGUUCGGAACAACACAGGGAAACUUGUGCUAAUACCGGAUAAGCCCUUACGGGGAAAGAUUUAUCACCGAAAGAUCGGCCCGCGUCUGAUUAGCUAGUUGGUAGGGUAAUGGCCUACCAAGGCGACGAUCAGUAGCUGGUCUGAGAGGAUGAUCAGCCACAUUGGGACUGAGACACGGCCCAAACUCCUACGGGAGGCAGCAGUGGGGAAUAUUGGACAAUGGGCGAAAGCCUGAUCCAGCCAUGCCGCGUGAGUGAUGAAGGCCCUAGGGUUGUAAAGCUCUUUUGUGCGGGAAGAUAAUGACGGUACCGCAAGAAUAAGCCCCGGCUAACUUCGUG